AGGGAGGCGGGGCGCUCGGCAGCACGGCCGGGACUCCCGCGGACUCGCCACUUGCGGCUGCCGCGCGGGCUGGGCGGCGGCGGCUGCGGGACUGAACAGCCGCCCGGAGGCGGCACGGCCUCGGAGGGCUGGAGCGCGGUGUUGGGAGCCGCGCGGGCGGCGGCUGCCCCGAGCCGACGUGAACAGGCUCUGAAAGGGUUCCAGCUGAAGUUUCCGAGCAGACUAGUAGUCGCUGUGGCUCCCUAGGCUGUUUCCAAGCUGCCGGUGCAUGCCGUUGACAAGCUGCAGGAUGGUGCCCGUGGCCAGGCUGCUGUUGCUGCUCCUCGCCUUCUUCCUCUACGCCUGUGCUGAGACACCUCCCAGGUUUACACGAACUCCGGUUGAUCAGACAGGGGUCUCUG
Molecule: long non-coding RNA, 401 nt
Filed under: Rattus norvegicus (Norway rat)
Lineage: Eukaryota; Metazoa; Chordata; Mammalia; Rodentia; Muridae
Description: long non-coding RNA NONRATT023338
Source: RNAcentral